GGAGGCCCUGUGCUUUAUACGAGUAACUAAAACAUAAGUUCCAUUUCUAACAAUAGUCAAGAAACCAUUCCUGAACUAUUAUCUUCAGUUAGACAUUACAUAACCUAUUCAAACUGAGAUAAGUGUGCAGACAAAACAUUUCCAGCAAAUCAAUGAAAACUCUUCUUGUGGAAAAAGUUAAAAAGGUAACAUAUUGUUAAGUCUCUAAUUUAGUCAAUUACCUUCCAGGUUCACAGCCAACAAAAGCAGACAAACUUUCAGAUGAUUUCAUGGCGGUGCUUCCAACAUGCUUUCGCUUCGUCUUGACAACAUCUAGUGGUGUUGAAAUGACUACAACUGGG
This 341-nucleotide long non-coding RNA is filed under the name Eucalyptus grandis. RNAcentral describes it as "long non-coding RNA (EGRA_LNC000690)". Lineage: Eukaryota; Viridiplantae; Streptophyta; Magnoliopsida; Myrtales; Myrtaceae. The record is from RNAcentral.